GGUAAAAUGGCUGAGAGUAAGCAUUAGACUGUAAAUCUAAAGACGGAGGAGUAGCCCCUCUUUUUACC
RNAcentral lists this transfer RNA (68 nucleotides) under Saguinus oedipus (cotton-top tamarin). Its description in RNAcentral is "tRNA-Tyr". It matches the Rfam family "tRNA". From Rfam's summary of the family: Transfer RNA (tRNA) molecules are approximately 80 nucleotides in length. Their secondary structure includes four short double-helical elements and three loops (D, anti-codon, and T loops). Lineage: Eukaryota; Metazoa; Chordata; Mammalia; Primates; Cebidae. RNAcentral also lists the same sequence under 1 other name. The record is from RNAcentral.